AAAUUUCAGAUUUAUUUCCUUUUCCCUCCUCCUCCCGCGCACAGCUGCCUCCCUUAUGCUCGAGGUCUUUUUUUUUUGAAAUCACGCAUUUUUCUUUUUCUUUUCGAUCUUCUUCCUCUCUUCCUUCUCCCUUGGCUUCCUUCUUUUCGUUCUUUUCUUUUCUUCCACCGAGAGACCGAGAGAGGGAGGCCGAGAGAGCUGGAGAGAACCUGAGAGAGACACGCGGUGGGCUAGCCACCGUUGGGGGUGGGCGACGGCAACGGCGCCGGAGGCCGGUGGGUCACGGCCCGACGCCGGUAAAGCCAACGGAUGUCUUUUUCCGGCGUUUUCUCGCCACCCAAACAUGGACAAAUUCAUUUUUCGGGAUAUCAUUCUUUGCAAGUGUAACGAGUAGCACAUACAUUGUGGAGCCAAGGACGCAAAGUAUUGGCCUUGACACUACAAAGCCGAAUCAGUGAGCUGCAAAAAUUGGAGGGGGAAUAUUAUUGGAUCAUGGGACAGGUGUGGUUAUUGGUGAAACUGCAGUUGUAGGAAACAGAGUUUCAUUGAUGCAUUUGAAUCUAUUAAUUAGAAUGACUGAACAUCAAUGGCAAUGUCAGAGGUCGUUUGAGGUGGCACCUGAAUAUAUAAUCAUAUUGAAAAUUAGGAUCAACAUUUGUCCAAGUGCUAGCACCAAUCAACCUUAACACAGACAAAGAUAACAUUGAAUACAAUAGAAUGGAUAGGAAGAGGACACUCCUCCAUCCACACCACAUCAGAAGGCAAAGUAAGUGCCAACUUGGCUAAAGUGUGUGCUGCAGAAUUUGCACCUCUACUCACAUGUUGAAUAACAAAAUUGGGAGAAGAAGAGAGCCUUGUCCGGAUAUCAUCCACCACCUGACCGUACCUGUUGAAGCAAGGAUUUUCCUGGUUUAUAGGUGCUACAGUAGCCAGCGAAUCCCCUUCCAGAACCAUUUGCAGAUAGCCCAUCUCUCUUCCCAAUUCCAUUGCCCUCCAAGCCGCUAGGAUCUCAUCUAACAAAGGGUCCGUUACGAAAGGGAUUGGGGCCGGGCUGCCAAAACCACUAGAAACUCACCCUUCUCAUUUCGGCCCAUCCACCCCGACACGUACCCACAAGCUUAGUAGAGGAGCAAAUCGCUGCAUCCCAAUUCAGUUCUACCCAUCCCGGUGAAGGUUUCAACCACCUUGGCUCACUGGGCACGCGGCUGGAUAACUCCCCCUCCAUAGAGUUUGCCUCAAAAAACGAGUAGAGAUCUUCUUAUGCUUGACGAGCCACCUGCAUGGGAGAAUUAAAGGAGUUCCCAAACACAAAACCAUUUCGACGUAGCCAAAUGAGUCUGGCUAAAGAAUGCGCCAAAAUGAGUGUAUUUGGUCAAUACUUUAACAGUACAUAUGCUAUAAUUAAUUUUCUUUUCCA
This is a long non-coding RNA of Alnus glutinosa, 1417 nucleotides long. RefSeq lists it as uncharacterized. The record is from RefSeq and is a predicted model, not a curated record. Lineage: Eukaryota; Viridiplantae; Streptophyta; Magnoliopsida; Fagales; Betulaceae. The transcript is spliced from 6 exons.